UUUCCGUAGGUGAACCUGCGGAAGGAUCAUUAUUGGAUUUUGAAACUUCAGGCUGCUGCUGGCUCUCCUCGGAGGGCAUGUGCACGCUUGUUGUCCAUUAUUUCUCCCACUGUGCACAAAUUGUAGACCUUUCAGUAGGCCUAUGUUGUUUUUCACAAUCUCUGAAUGUAAUAGAAUGGUUUUGAAUCUUGGGAAAUACAAUACAACUUUCAGCGACGGAUCUCUUGGCUCUC
Molecule: unclassified non-coding RNA, 233 nt
Filed under: plant metagenome
Description: partial contains small subunit ribosomal RNA, internal transcribed spacer 1, and 5.8S ribosomal RNA
Source: RNAcentral